AGGGUAUGGUAGUAGGUGCCUUUGAACAGGGUAUGGUAGUAGGUGCCUUUGAACAGGGGUAUGGUAGUAGGUGCCUUUGAACAGGGGUAUGGUAGUAGGUGCCUUUGAACAGGGUAUGGUGGUAGGUGCCUUUGAACAGGGGUGUGGGUAGUAGGUGCCUUUGAACAGGGUAGUAGGUGCCUUUGAACAGGGUAGUAGGUGCCUUUGAACAGGGGUGUGGGUAGUAGGUGCCUUUGAACAGGGGUAUGGUAGUGGGUGCCUUUGAACAGGGGUGUGGUAGUAGGUGCCUUUGAACAGGGGUGUGGUAGUAGGUGCCUUUGAACAGGGGUGUGAUAGUAGGUGCCUUUGAACAGGGUCUGGUAGUAGGUGCCUUUGAA
This 377-nucleotide long non-coding RNA is filed under the name Oncorhynchus kisutch (coho salmon). RNAcentral's name for it is "lncRNA (ENSOKIG00005017830.1)". The record is from RNAcentral. Lineage: Eukaryota; Metazoa; Chordata; Actinopteri; Salmoniformes; Salmonidae.